GACGAACGCUGGCGGCGUGCUUAACACAUGCAAGUCGAACGGAAAGGCCCUGCUUGCAGGGUACUCGAGUGGCGAACGGGUGAGUAACACGUGGGUGAUCUGCCCUGCACUUCGGGAUAAGCUUGGGAAACUGGGUCUAAUACCGGAUAGGAGCCAUCUUUAGUGUGGUGGUUGGAAAGUUUUUUCGGUGUAGGAUGAGCUCGCGGCCUAUCAGCUUGUUGGUGGGGUAAUGGCCUACCAAGGCGGCGACGGGUAGCCGGCCUGCGAGGGUGUACGGCCACAUUGGGACUGAGAUACAGCCCAGACUCCUACGGGAGGCAGCAGUGGGGAAUAUUGCACAAUGGGCGCAAGCCUGAUGCAGCGACGCCGCGUGGGGGAUGAAGGCCUUCGGGUUGUAAACUCCUUUCGCUAGGGACGAAGCUUUUUUGUGACGGUACCUAGAUAAGAAGCACCGGCUAACUACGUG
Molecule: ribosomal RNA, 466 nt
Filed under: uncultured bacterium
Lineage: Bacteria
Description: partial 16S ribosomal RNA
Rfam family: Bacterial small subunit ribosomal RNA
Source: RNAcentral